This is a non-coding RNA of Odocoileus virginianus texanus, 376 nucleotides long. Lineage: Eukaryota; Metazoa; Chordata; Mammalia; Artiodactyla; Cervidae. The record is from RefSeq and is a predicted model, not a curated record.
CCACUGCCAGCUGAGGAGUCUGUAACCACCUUGAGUAGAAGACAAGGCCUGGCUUUCACCAUAGCAGCCCACUCGAGGAGUGUCAUCAUAUGUUUUUAUUAAGAUGGGAAUUUGGAGGAGGCUCUAAAACCAUCUCUGAACCAUAGUCUGUGAUGAAGCUGAUAAAAGGUGCAGUCCUUGGAGGGCUCUGCAGAGAUGAGUCAGAGCUCCUGACGGAGUAAUCAGCGCCCAAGUGGGGCUCCAAGUCCCAGGCCAGCUGCAGCCCCGCUGCCCGCCUUCCAACUGCUCUACGUAUACUGGGAACCCACAAGGGACUUCAGUUUUAAUAUAACUUUUGAUGCUGAAAGAAAAACGUAGGAGAUCCCUGGGGUAUCAG